Molecule: transfer RNA, 90 nt
Filed under: Stachybotrys elegans
Lineage: Eukaryota; Fungi; Ascomycota; Sordariomycetes; Hypocreales; Stachybotryaceae
Rfam family: tRNA
About the family: Transfer RNA (tRNA) molecules are approximately 80 nucleotides in length. Their secondary structure includes four short double-helical elements and three loops (D, anti-codon, and T loops).
Source: Rfam by way of RNAcentral
GGUCGCUUAACUCAGUUGGUUAGAGUGUUGUACUAAUACGGGCGCUGCUCAGAUAUGCAAAAGUCGCCAGUUCGAUCCUGGUAGUGACCA